CAGCAGCCGCGGGAAUACAGAGGGUGCGAGCGUUAAUCGGAUUUACUGGGCGUAAAGCGUGCGUAGGCGGCUUCUUAAGUCGGAUGUGAAAUCCCUGAGCUUAACUUAGGAAUUGCAUUCGAUACUGGGAAGCUAGAGUAUGGGAGAGGAUGGUAGAAUUCCAGGUAUAGCGGUGAAAUGCGUAGAGAUCUGGAGGAAUACCGAUGGCGAAGGCAGCCAUCUGGCCUAAUACUGACGCUGAGGUACGAAAGCAUGGGGAGCAAACAGGAUUAGAUACCCGCGUAGUCCCUGUCUCUUAUAC
Molecule: ribosomal RNA, 301 nt
Filed under: uncultured bacterium
Lineage: Bacteria
Description: partial 16S ribosomal RNA
Rfam family: Bacterial small subunit ribosomal RNA
Source: RNAcentral